Molecule: long non-coding RNA, 466 nt
Filed under: Cavia porcellus (domestic guinea pig)
Lineage: Eukaryota; Metazoa; Chordata; Mammalia; Rodentia; Caviidae
Description: lncRNA (ENSCPOG00000039301.1)
Source: RNAcentral
AAACCAUCCUGGGGGAGGAAGUGGGCCCUGUCCAGCUGGAAAACCUGGAGGGAGGAAGCCGGCCUCCCUCGCGCUGGGUGUGGCUCGCUCCAGAGGCAGCCGGCUGAGAUCCACUCUGCUCUUGGCCCUGGACAGACAGAGACGGACGGAGAGCCUCCCAGCCCACAGGCACGGAGCUACCUGGGGACAAACUGGAGCUUUGAGUUACACCCAUAACUGCGCCUGCUCCGACCACCAUAGGUGCAGUCCACAAUCCUUGGAUUGGUUUUUGAAUCCUACAAGUGGGAAGGGAGUCAGUAACAAGCCCAGAACUGGAGACUGAGCUGCGCUGACAGGUAGCAGUGGGGAUGCUGACACCUUUGUGCCUGGGGUGGAAAUGGAGACCUGAACCUGUCUGGGCACAGAUGCUCAGGCCAGAGGUCAGAGGCUGUGCAGGACCCGAUUACAGCUGGAGGACAGCAUGAAG